CUCAGUUAUUACCGAACCUCAAGUUUUUAUCCACGAUUCAUUAUCUGUAUGGCAAAUGUACUGGUAAAAUGAUGGUCAAUAUUUUGUCAUCAACAGCGAAACCGCUGGUUGGACUCAUGAGUAAAAGUACAUGUUGUUCGAGCAAUUAUUACCGACAAUCUGAUCAUGUCGAUGUCGAUGAGAUUGUUAAACACUGCGGCAGUCUCGAGUAUAUGAAUAUAUUGGAUAAACGUUUUCGAGACAGUUAUUUCUUUAAAUAUAAAUUCGGACAAAAUUUGAAACACUUUGACGGUUAUAUCAUACGGUCCUACAAUGAAGAUGAAGAUUAUUAUUCCAUGGUGGAAGAAAUAAAUUUAUCAUGUCGCUACUUGGAGCAAAUGCCAAAUCUUGAAGUUCUGAAUCUGAAAAACCCACUAAUUAAACCUCGUCUUUGGCCUUUACCAAAAAUGAAACUGAAAGAGAUUCAAU
Panonychus citri (citrus red mite) is the source of this 468-nucleotide long non-coding RNA. RefSeq lists it as uncharacterized. The transcript is spliced from 3 exons. The record is from RefSeq and is a predicted model, not a curated record. NCBI's taxonomy places the organism in Eukaryota, Metazoa, Arthropoda, Arachnida, Trombidiformes, Tetranychidae.